CCUACGGGGGGCAGCAGUGGGGAAUAUUGCACAAUGGGGGAAACCCUGAUGCAGCGACGCCGCGUGAGCGAAGAAGUAUCUCGGUAUGUAAAGCUCUAUCAGCAGGGAAGAAAAUGACGGUACCUGACUAAGAAGCCCCGGCUAACUACGUGCCAGCAGCCGCGGUAAUACGUAGGGGGCAAGCGUUAUCCGGAUUUACUGGGUGUAAAGGGAGCGCAGGCGGCGCGGUAAGUCUGAUGUGAAAGCCCGGGGCUCAACCCCGGGACUGCUCUUGGAACUGCGUGGCUAGAGUGCAGGAGGGGCAG
Molecule: ribosomal RNA, 305 nt
Filed under: uncultured bacterium
Lineage: Bacteria
Description: bacterial SSU rRNA
Rfam family: Bacterial small subunit ribosomal RNA
Source: RNAcentral